RNAcentral lists this transfer RNA (77 nucleotides) under Elusimicrobiota bacterium. RNAcentral describes it as "Elusimicrobia bacterium (anaerobic digester metagenome) tRNA-Met". It matches the Rfam family "tRNA". Rfam says of the family: Transfer RNA (tRNA) molecules are approximately 80 nucleotides in length. Their secondary structure includes four short double-helical elements and three loops (D, anti-codon, and T loops). The record is from RNAcentral. Lineage: Bacteria; Pseudomonadati; Elusimicrobiota. RNAcentral also lists the same sequence under 1 other name.
UGCGGGGUAGGGAAGCCUGGUAUCCCGCAAGGCCCAUAACCUUGAGAUCGCUGGUUCAAAUCCAGCCCCCGCAACCA